CUUUUGUUGUUGUUGUUUAAUUGAAGUUUUUGAGGAACAGGUGGUGGUUGGUUACAUGGAUAAGUUCCUUGGUGGUGAUUUGAGAUUUCUGUGUACCAUCACCUGAGCAGUGUACACUGUACCCAAUGUGUAAUCUUUCAUCCCUUGCCCCUGUCUCACCAUUCCCCUCUGAGUCCCUAAAGUCCAUUGUAUCAUUCUCAUGCCUUUGCAUCCUCAUAGCUUAGCUCCCACAUAUCAGUGAGAACAUAUGAUGUUCUCCAUUCUUAGAAUAAUGGUCUCCAAUUCUAUCCAGGUUGCUGUGGAUACCAUUACUUCAUUCCUUUUUAUGGCUGAGUAGUAUUCCAUGAUGUAAAUACACCACAUUUUCUUUAUCCACUCGCUGAUUGAUGGGCAUUUGGGCUAGUUUCAUAUUUUUGCAAUUGCGAAUUGUGCCGCUAUAAAUAUGCACAUACAAGUGACUUUUUCAUAUCAUGACUUAUUUUCCUCUGGGUAGAUACCCAAGGAAUUUUGUAUCUAUAUUUCUGAUGGAAAUUGAUCUAUAAUUUUACUUUCCUUUAAGAUCUUUGUCAACUAUAGGUUCAUGCUGGUCUCCUAACAUGAGUUUGGAAGGGUUCUCUCCUCUUCUAUUCUUCUGAAAGGGUUUCUGUAAAUUCUAUUACACCAUACUUAAGGGUUUAUUAGAAUUAACUAGUGAAAGCAAUUCAGCCUAGAGAGCUCGUCUUUCUGGGAGAUGUCUUCUUUCUGGGAGAUUUUUGACUACAAACCAAUUGCCUUUAUAGACGUAAGACUCCUCAGAUUUUAUUCCUCUUUGUGUUGGUUUCAUGAAGUUAUUUUUAAGAAAUUUGCAUAUUUUAUCUAAAGUAGUUAUUCAUAAUAUCUUUGUGACGUAUGUAAGAUUUGCAUCCCAUUUCAUUCCUGAUAUUGGAGUGAAAUUCGUGCAUGGGUGUGUUUUUCUUGAUCAGCCUUGAUAGGGGUUAUCAAUUAGAGAACCAACUUUUGCCUUUGCUGAUUGUGUUCCCUUUCAUUGAGUUUUGGUUUUUAUUACUACCUUCCUUUACUUAUUUUAUUUAAAUAUGCAUUUGUUUUCUACAUUCUUAUGAUUAAAAUUUAGAUAGCUGAUUUGAAACUUUUCUGCUAAUAGAGGCAUUUAAAGUUAUAAUUGUUCUCCUUAGCUACGUCUCAUACAUUUUGGUUUUUAAUUUUCUUUAAAAAUGAAGAGAGAGCAUCUCCCUGUGUUGCCCAGGCUGGUCUCGAACUCCUGGGCUCAAGGGAUCCUCCUGCCUUGGCCUCCCAAAGUGCUAGGAUUAUAGGCAUGCACCACGAUACCCGGCCUGCAUCCCACACAUUCUGAUAUAUUGUGUUUUCACUAUCAUUCAGUUCAAAAUAUUUUCUAAUUUCCUUUGUGUUUCUUCUUUGACUGAUGGGUUAUUUUGAAGUAUGUUGUUUAAUUUCCCAACAAAAUUUUAAUUUUGGGAUUUUUAGGCAUAUUAUCACUGUUGAUAUCCCAUUCCAUUUCUGUGUCGUCAGAGAACAUAGUCUGUAAUAUUUAAAUCUUCAAAUUUAUUUUAUAGCCCAGCAUGUGAUCCAGCCUGAUGAACGUUCCCUGUGCACAUGAAAAGAAUGGAUGUUCUCCUGUUGUUGGCUGUAGUGUUCUAUGUCAGCCAUCCCUGUGGGGAUGUCAGUGAUGCUCAGGCCCCACUACCUGCACCAUUGUCCUACUGCAUCUCCUUUGAGCCUCCUGUCAACCUCUGCACACAGGGCCUCAGCCCCUAGCCCCGGAUGCCUACCACUAGACCCAGCAGAACCGUAGCAGUGGUUUGCUGGCCCAGCACCUAAAGGCGCAGAAUACGCCCCCUUGGCCCUCAGGGAAAGAUGCAGAGCUAGUGCGACUUACUCUUCUCCACCACCAAAGUAAGGUGAGUUUACCCCCUCCCUCAUCCCAGGAUCCUCCCUGAAUGGGCCAGGGGCUAACACAUCUCAGGACCACCAGCCUCAGCCCCUCCCAGUGCCUUGUUAAAGGUGAGAGCACUGGUGGAAAGAAAGGCUGCACGCCAGGGCAAGAGCAGCUUCUGAGGGCCUCCCGAAGGCCAGCCCUGCCUUCUUGGAGGGAGGAGUAUAUGCCCCCAACCUCUGCUUUGCUCUUAGUACUUGGGCCACAGUAUCCUGGGUGUAAAAUGGGGGUGAUCCUCUCCAUGCCACAGGGUCCUGAGGGUCAUACACAACCGUGCCCCUAAAGCCCCUGGCACAACACCUGACUGGGGCACACGGGCAACACACCGGCAACAAACAGGAGCUGGGAGAGUUUCCUGUGGCUGCCAGAACAAACACCGCAAACAGGCGUGGCGGUGGGGGUCAUGCACCUGACAUUUAUUUUCUCACCGUUCUGGAGGCCAGAAGUCUGAGAUCCAGGGGCCGGUAGGGCCACACCCACUCUGAAGGCUCCGGGGGAAGAAUCGUCCUGGCCUCUUCCAGUUCCCCAUGGCUCCAGGCUCCUGGGCUUGUGGCUGCAUCGCUCCUGCCUCUGCCCGUCUUCACGUGGCCUCUCCUUAUGUGUCUUUUCCUCUCCUCCUUAGGACAUUUGUCGCUGGAUUUAGGGCCCGCCCAGAAUCCAGCAGGGGCUCAUCUUCAGAUCCCUAAUUCCAUCUGCAAAGACCCUUUAUCUAGAUGAGAAUGUCUAGCCUCUGCCUGGCCCAGCCUUGUAUUUUGGGAAGAGACGACUGUUUCUAGCUGUGCAGGUUCACCGUGGAAGAGAGGUUAGUUCUGCCCCAGGUGGGACCCGCCCACAGCUCACCCACAUCGGAGGGCACUGGCUUCACUUGGAGAUCUGGGGCUCAGAACUGAUGCUGGCAUGGGCUAGGACUUCGGGGGAUGCAGUGACGGAGGGGGUGUAUUUUGCAUGUGGGACAGAUGUGGAUUUGGGGGGCCAGAGGGCAGACUCUAAUGGGUUGAACGGUGUCCCCCCAAAUCCAUGUCCUCCCUGAACCUCAGAAUGUGAGCUUCUUUGGAAACAGUCUGCAGAUAGUUCAGAUGUGGUUAAUCCAGUAUGACCAGCAUCCCCAUAAGAGACACACACACGGAGAGAGAGCGCCGUGUGGCGCAGGCACAGAUUAGAGUGCCACGUCCACAGUCAGGGCACGCCAAGGAUGGCGGCCACACGAGCGGGUGGCAGAGAGAAGGGCCUGGAGUGCAUGGUACCCCCCGAGCCCCCAAGGGAAGCAGCUCUGGUGACACCUUGGUUUUGGACCUCCGGCCUCGAGAACUGUGAGAAAAUUAAAUUCUGUCAUUUGAAGCCAUCCAGUUUGGGGGAAUGCACUGUGGAGUGCUUGGACCACACCAUGAAACCAGCACAUGGUGACCUGUGGGCCCGUUGGUGCCAACCCUGCGCGUGCCUAUUAGGAGGGGGCCUGAGAGGCUAAGGCAGGAGGGCACGAGGGCGUGCGGCUGGCUCUCGGGAGCAUGGGGACGCGGUCAGGGCAAGUGAGACCUGGAGGGGAUGCAGGGGGUGGCGGGCCCUCCA
Long non-coding RNA from Cercocebus atys (sooty mangabey), 3517 nucleotides. RefSeq lists it as uncharacterized. The transcript has 3 exons. The record is from RefSeq and is a predicted model, not a curated record. Lineage: Eukaryota; Metazoa; Chordata; Mammalia; Primates; Cercopithecidae.